UNCUAUUAGUAUUCGCUGAACUAUAUGUA
Molecule: non-coding RNA, 29 nt
Filed under: Rattus norvegicus (Norway rat)
Lineage: Eukaryota; Metazoa; Chordata; Mammalia; Rodentia; Muridae
Source: RNAcentral